RNAcentral lists this ribosomal RNA (537 nucleotides) under Neocallichirus calmani. RNAcentral describes it as "partial large subunit ribosomal RNA". It matches the Rfam family "Bacterial large subunit ribosomal RNA", at positions 1832 to 2625 of the family's 2925-position model. The record is from RNAcentral. Lineage: Eukaryota; Metazoa; Arthropoda; Malacostraca; Decapoda; Callianassidae.
GGCUGCUCGAUUUAAAGAUCAGUCUGGCCUGCCCACUGAUUUAUUUAAAGGGCCGCGGUAUUCUGACCGUGCGAAGGUAGCAAAAUAAUUAGUCUUUUAAUUGAAGACCAGAAUGAAAGGUCGGACAAAAAGCAACCUCUCUCAACUUAACUUAUUUAAAUUAACUUUUAAGUGAAAAGGCUUAAAUACUCUUAUAGGACGAUAAGACCCUAUAAAACUUUAUAUUCUUGAAAUAUCUUUCGAUAUAUAUGUGAAAAGCCGGAUAUUAAAAAGUUUAUUUCGUUGGGGCAACGUAAGUAUAAUUUUUAACUGCUUAAACUUUACCCACUAAUAUGUGUUCAUAUUUGAUCCUUAAUAAAGAUUCAAAGAAAAAGUUACUUUAGGGAUAACAGCGUUAUUUUUUUUACGAGUUCAUAUCGACAAAAAAGUUUGCGACCUCGAUGUUGAAUUAAAAUUCUCCUUAUAGUGCAGCAGCUAUAAAGGUAGGUCUGUUCGACCUUUAAAAUUUUACAUGAUUUGAGUUCAAACCGGUGUAAG